ACAGGUUAAUUUUAUUGUUAAUUCUUUGAUUGAAAAAGUUGGGAUUGCCUAAGGGUCCUGUUAAAGUUCAGCUCACUGAGGAGCCAGUCAUCAAAAUCAACAAGGAGGGAAUCUCUGUCAACGUGAAGGCCAUCGCCCAAUCUAAAACCAACUCACCGCCUCCUCCUCUUCCUGUGGAGUGUCAGUUUGGGAUGAAGGUCAAUUUGAAUGGACGUCAUCUGAUUCUUCAGUCUCUAAGCCCCAAGUGUGAAGCCAAACCUGGAACCAAAAAGGGAAGAUUUGUGGUAAGAAAACUUCUCUGUGUUUACUCUUUUAUCCUCUCUGUUUUUCUGUGUGGUUCUGUUUG
Molecule: long non-coding RNA, 346 nt
Organism: Sander lucioperca (pikeperch)
Lineage: Eukaryota; Metazoa; Chordata; Actinopteri; Perciformes; Percidae
Exons: 4
Source: RefSeq, a predicted model, not a curated record